This 497-nucleotide ribosomal RNA is filed under the name uncultured bacterium. Its description in RNAcentral is "partial 16S ribosomal RNA". It matches the Rfam family "Bacterial small subunit ribosomal RNA", at positions 28 to 507 of the family's 1533-position model. The record is from RNAcentral.
GAUGAACGCUGGCGGCGUGCCUAAUACAUGCAAGUCGAGCGAACGGACGAGAAGCUUGCUUCUCUGAUGUUAGCGGCGGACGGGUGAGUAACACGUGGAUAACCUACCUAUAAGACUGGGAUAACUUCGGGAAACCGGAGCUAAUACCGGAUGAUAUUUUGAACCGCAUGGUUCAAAAGUGAAAGACGGUCUUGCUGUCACUUAUAGAUGGAUCCGCGCUGCAUUAGCUAGUUGGUAAGGUAACGGCUUACCAAGGCAACGAUGCAUAGCCGACCUGAGAGGGUGAUCCGCCACACUGGAACUGAGACACGGUCCAGACUCCUACGGGAGGCAGCAGUAGGGAAUCUUCCGCAAUGGGCGAAAGCCUGACGGAGCAACGCCGCGUGAGUGAUGAAGGUCUUCGGAUCGUAAAACUCUUUUAUUAGGGAAGAACAUAUGUGUAAGUAACUGUGCACAUCCUGACGGUACCUAAUCAGAAAGCCACGGCUAACUACGUG